This 253-nucleotide ribosomal RNA is filed under the name uncultured bacterium. RNAcentral's name for it is "partial 16S ribosomal RNA". It matches the Rfam family "Bacterial small subunit ribosomal RNA", at positions 524 to 776 of the family's 1533-position model. The record is from RNAcentral.
UACGGAGGAGGCAAGCGUUAUCCGGAAUUAUUGGGCGUAAAGCGUCCGCAGGUGGCACUUCAAGUCUGUCGUCAAAGACUGGGGCUUAACCCCGGAAAGGCGGUGGAAACUGAAGCGCUAGAGUGCGGUAGGGGUAGAGGGAAUUCCCGGUGUAGCGGUGGAAUGCGUAGAGAUCGGGAAGAACAUCGGUGGCGAAAGCGCUCUACUGGACCGCAACUGACACUCAGGGACGAAAGCUAGGGGAGCGAAUGGG